This 253-nucleotide ribosomal RNA is filed under the name uncultured bacterium. RNAcentral describes it as "partial 16S ribosomal RNA". It matches the Rfam family "Bacterial small subunit ribosomal RNA", at positions 524 to 776 of the family's 1533-position model. The record is from RNAcentral.
UACGGAGGGGGCUAGCGUUGUUCGGAAUUACUGGGCGUAAAGCGCACGUAGGCGGCUUUGCAAGUCAGAGGUGAAAGCCCGGGGCUCAACCCCGGAAUUGCCUUUGAGACUGCAUCGCUAGAAUUGUGGAGAGGUAAGUGGAAUUCCGAGUGUAGAGGUGAAAUUCGUAGAUAUUCGCAAGAACACCAGUGGCGAAGGCGGCUUACUGGUCCGGUACUGACGCUGAGGUGCGAAAGCGUGGGGAGCAAACAGG